GCUUGUCUCAAAGAUUAAGCCAUGCAUGUCUAAGUAUAAAUGCUAUACAAUGAAACUGCGAAUGGCUCAUUAAAACAGUUAUAGUUUAUUUGGUAAUAAAAUUACAUGGAUAACCGUGGUAAUUCUAGAGCUAAUACAUGCUGUUAAGCCUGACUUCUUGAAGGGCUGUAUUUAUUAGAUAACAGACCAGCAGCUUCGGCUAUUGUGGUGAAUCAUAGUAACUAAUCGGAUCGCAUGGGCUAGUCCCGCGACAAACCAUUCAAGUUUCUGCCCCAUCAGCUUUCGACGGUAGUGUAUUGGACUACCGUGGCUUUUACGGGUAACGGAGGAUUAGGGUUCGAUUCCGGAGAGGGAGCCUGAGAAACGGCUACCACAUCCAAGGAAGGCAGCAGG
RNAcentral lists this ribosomal RNA (393 nucleotides) under uncultured Strobilidiidae. RNAcentral's name for it is "partial small subunit ribosomal RNA". It matches the Rfam family "Eukaryotic small subunit ribosomal RNA", at positions 30 to 432 of the family's 1831-position model. Lineage: Eukaryota; Ciliophora; Spirotrichea; Choreotrichida; Strobilidiidae. The record is from RNAcentral.